Molecule: long non-coding RNA, 250 nt
Filed under: Zalophus californianus (California sea lion)
Lineage: Eukaryota; Metazoa; Chordata; Mammalia; Carnivora; Otariidae
Description: lncRNA (ENSZCAG00015010591.1)
Source: RNAcentral
CGCUGCGCUGGGAGUGAGAGGGGGUCAGGAUUUCCCCGCUGCCGUUUGUGACCCCGGGGGAUUUCUCAGGGUUCCGAAAACAACACAGCCCUGGCCGGGAGGGAUACGGGCCGGAGGAUGCCAGAUGUUUUGAAUUCUUUGAAAUCUCUAAGCAUCUAGAAAAAAUAAUCAUGGUGGUGUGCCUGUGGAAAAUGCUCGAGGGACAGCAAAUGAACGAAGCAUUCGAAGAUGUGUUGAACCACGUUUGAAC